CGGCAACAGCUCAAAUUUGAAAUCUGGUCACCUUACGGAGGCCCGAGUUGUAAUUUGAAGAGGAUGCUUUUGGCGAGGUGCCUUCCGAGUGCCCUGGAACGGGACGCCACAGAGGGUGAGAGCCCCGUAUGGUUGGACACCGAGCCUAUGUAAAGCUCCUUCGACGAGUCGAGUAGUUUGGGAAUGCUGCUCAAAAUGGGAGGUAAACCCCUUCUAAAGCUAAAUAUUGGCCAGAGACCGAUAGCGCACAAGUAGAGUGAUCGAAAGAUGAAAAGCACUUUGAAAAGAGAGUUAAACAGCACGUGAAAUUGUUGAAAGGGAAGCGCUUGCGACCAGACUUGCGCCCGUCGGAUCAACCGUCGCUUGUCGGCGGCGCACUCCGGCGGGCUCAGGCCAGCAUCAGUUUUCCCGGGGGGAGAAAGGCGGUGGGAAUGUAGCUCCUAGGAGUGUUAUAGCCCGCCGCGUAAUACCCUCGGGGGGACUGAGGACCGCGCAU
RNAcentral lists this ribosomal RNA (496 nucleotides) under Microascales sp. SSR-2012a. Its description in RNAcentral is "eukaryotic LSU rRNA". It matches the Rfam family "Eukaryotic large subunit ribosomal RNA", at positions 99 to 598 of the family's 3401-position model. Lineage: Eukaryota; Fungi; Ascomycota; Sordariomycetes; Microascales. The record is from RNAcentral.